GGCGCGGUGGUUGAGCGGUAAAGCGCUUGGCUUCCAAACUGGGGGUCCCGGGUUCGAAUCCUGGUGAAGCCA
Molecule: non-coding RNA, 72 nt
Organism: Biomphalaria glabrata
Lineage: Eukaryota; Metazoa; Mollusca; Gastropoda; Planorbidae
Source: Rfam